CUUCAUCAAGUUCUAGUUCCCCAAGUGUUCUGCAGCUUUCGGAUUUCUGCAGUUUCCUUGCACAAGUAACUGGAUUCCUCAAUUUUCUGUGACGGUUUUGAGUUGAUGGUGAGGAUGAGUGUGAACGAGUUUUGUCACCCAACAAAAGGUCCAUUCUAGCCAAUCUUUCCUUUGUUUUUUCUUCAUUGUUGAUUGAUCCAUCCUUUGCGGAAAUAAAAACAACAUAAAAAUAGAAGAAUGAUCAUAGCAUGAAUCAAAACUGAACUCAUAGUACAGGAUAGAUAGAAUGUUGAUAGAAGGACUAACUCUAACUGUUUUUCAGUUAUACCUGAAGAAGCACAGAUAUUGACUCUGAAGAGAGUGGUUUCUCUAAAGAAGCUGAUUCAUCCGUUGAAGUUUCUUCAUCUGGUGGAGGUGAUGAAGAAAGAAUGGAGGAUGAGCAACACACAGAUUCUGAUGUGGGAAUAAGUUUUUCUUCAUCUGGUGGAGAUGGUAAGGAAAGAACUGAGGCUGUUGGACUUGGUUGUGAGAAAAAAAUGAGUCUGUGAAACCAAAGACUAUCCAUUUCUUCUAUAGUGCAUAGAAAGUUUUUUUUUUCCAUUGCUUAUUUCUCUGUGUGUGAGAGGGAUAGAGAGAGUAAGAUUUGCGUAUGAAAAGGCUGAAGGAAGUAGUGGCCUGUCGGCAGGUGUGGUGGUGGUGAAAAGAAACAGAAGUAGAGAAGCGAGUGAAGGCAAAUGAACGUGGAGA
This 747-nucleotide long non-coding RNA is filed under the name Phaseolus vulgaris (common bean). RNAcentral describes it as "long non-coding RNA (PVUL_LNC005205)". Lineage: Eukaryota; Viridiplantae; Streptophyta; Magnoliopsida; Fabales; Fabaceae. The record is from RNAcentral.